GUUUGAUCCUGGCUCAGGACGAACGCUGGCGGCGUGCGUAACACAUGCAAGUCGAACGAGUGCAGCAAUGCACGAGUGGCGGACGGGUGAGGAACACGUGGCUACCAACCUGACACUGGGGAAUACCCGUGGGAAACCACGGCUAAUACCGCAUACGCCCGCAAGGGGAAAGGCUUAGGCCGGUGACAGACGGGGCUGCGCCCGAUUAGCUAGUUGGUGGGGUAAUGGCCUACCAAGGCGACGAUCGGUAACUGGUCUGAGAGGAUGGCCAGUCACAUUGGGAUUGAGAACGGCCCAAAUCCCUACGGGGAGCAGCAGUGAGGAAUAUUCGGCAAUGGGCGCAAGCCUGACCGAGCGACGCCGCGUGCGGGAAGACGCUUCUCGGAGUGUAAACCGCUUUUCUCUGUGACGAGACAGGACGGUAGCAGAGGAAGAAGUCUCGGCUAACUACGUGCCAGCAGCCGCGGUAAUACGUAGGAGGCAAGCGUUGUCCGGAGUUACUGGGCGUAAAGCGUGGGUAGGCGGUCGUGUGCGUCUGUGGUGAAAUCUCCUGGCUUACCUGGGAGGGGGCUAUGGAUACGGCGCGACUUGAGGGCGUGAGAGGCUUGUAGAACUCCCGGUGGACCAGUGAAAUGGGUAGAGAUCGGGAAGAAUACCAGUGGUGCAGACGGCAAGCUGGCGCGUACCUGACGCUGAUCUACGAAAGCAUGGGGAGCAAACAGGAUUAGAUACCCUGGUAGUCCAUGCGGUAAACGAUGUCCACUAGGUGUGCGGGGUAUCGACCCCCUGCGUGCCGGAGCUAACGCACGAAGUGGACCGCCUGGGGAGUACGGCCGCAAGGUUAAAACUCA
RNAcentral lists this ribosomal RNA (851 nucleotides) under uncultured bacterium. Its description in RNAcentral is "bacterial SSU rRNA". It matches the Rfam family "Bacterial small subunit ribosomal RNA", at positions 11 to 903 of the family's 1533-position model. The record is from RNAcentral.